GGCAGUGUGGCAUAGCGGUAAAGAGCAGGGCUCACAACCUUAAGGUUGCUGGUUUGAUUCCCGGCAGGGCCA
Non-coding RNA from Megalops atlanticus (tarpon), 72 nucleotides. Lineage: Eukaryota; Metazoa; Chordata; Actinopteri; Elopiformes; Megalopidae. The record is from the annotation of a GenBank genome assembly.